AGUGAACGCUGGCGGUAGGCCUAACACAUGCAAGUCGAACGGCAGCACAGUAGGAGCUUGCUCUUACGGGUGGCGAGUGGCGGACGGGUGAGGAAUACAUCGGAAUCUACUUUUUCGUGGGUGAUAACGUAGGGAAACUUACUCUAAUACCGCAUACGACCUACGUGUGAAAGCAGGGGAUCUUCUGACCUUGCGCGAUUGAAUGAGCCGAUGUCGGAUUAGCUAGUUGGCGGGGUAAAGGCCCACCAAGGCGACGAUCCGUAGCUGGUCUGAGAGGAUGAUCAGCCACACUGGAUCUGAGGCACGGUCCAGACUCUUACGCGAGGCAGCAGUGGGAAAUACUGGACAAUGGAGGCAAGCCUGAUCCAGCCAUACCGCGUGAGUGAAGACGCCCUUAGGGUUGUAAAACCAUUUUGUUGGGAAAGAAGAAAAGCAGUUUAACCCCCCGCUGUUCUGACGGUACCCAAAGAAUAAGCACCGGCUAACUUCGUG
RNAcentral lists this ribosomal RNA (492 nucleotides) under uncultured bacterium. RNAcentral describes it as "partial 16S ribosomal RNA". It matches the Rfam family "Bacterial small subunit ribosomal RNA", at positions 29 to 507 of the family's 1533-position model. The record is from RNAcentral.